GAUGUCGGUGGCGAACUGGCGCAGGAGGUCGUCGGCCUCCUGCAGGUAGACGUUGUAGAGCGGCAGGCCGAUCCGGAUCGGCCCGAUCACC
RNAcentral lists this transfer RNA (91 nucleotides) under Cupriavidus numazuensis. RNAcentral describes it as "tRNA-Asp". Lineage: Bacteria; Pseudomonadati; Pseudomonadota; Betaproteobacteria; Burkholderiales; Burkholderiaceae. The record is from RNAcentral.